ACCACGUGGCUACAACCAUUCAGUCUGCCAAGUUCCACAAAUCCAAGUGAAUCCUGUCCAGUUACUUCUCAUACUAGCCCUCUCAAGUCAGCCUCACCUCGCCGAAUCAAUCUUUUAAGUCCAAAAAGACCAUCAAAGAACACUCCUAACCCAGGCUUCGUCCUUCAAAAAGCCAUCGCAUAUGAACAAGCUGUAAGUCCCACGAAAAAUAUUGUUAAGGACCCUGCUGAAUUGUCUUUAGCGGAGAGAAAAGCACUCUUUGAGAAAAAUAACAGCAAACCUAUUCUUCCUAAGGUACCUUUUGGUCAACCACUUCCCGUCAAUAAUAAGCAAACAAAUACUCACAUUAUGGAAGCCUGCGCAACUUCAACAAUGAAGGUAAAAAAUUUACCUUGGUCUCUCAAGCAAGAAGUCAUAGAAAAUUCAACAAAAAAAGGAAAUAAUUUACCUUACUCUCCAAUCAAGGACAAAUUGCCAGCAAAUAUGACUAUGGAAACUGAUGAUUCGUCCAACUCAUCCAAGAAGAAUCCAGUGCACUCGGCAGAGCCUGGAAAAGUGAGCAAGCUUCAGUCCAGAUUGGCAGUUUUUGAAUCGAAAGAAAAAAUUCUGUGUGAAAAGAAAUAUGACGAUGAAAGAGGAAAAGAAUUGGAAAUGCUCUGCAAUCGAUGGGAAAAGUUUAAAUACAUCAAAGGCAGCACUGUCCAAGAGAAAGUAGUCUCACCAAGAGUGAACAAAUGUUUUGUUACAACAGUACAUCCAAAGAAACGACCAAGCUUACUCAUAAGUGACUCUCCUUCAACGCCUGAGCAGCCACCAUACUCACAGUCCCCUGUUCGCUGUCCUAUAUCGCCUGAAAUGAGGUUAAGGAAGGAAAAGAAAUUAAACCUAGAGUUUCGAUGCCUAAUGUGUCACCGAUUGUUGUAUCACCUCCAAAACCUGGACAGCUAUAUCCAAGUCUAUCAGAUAUUGAGGCAAAGACAGGGUCUGAAGUAGCGGAUGAAAAGAAUGAUGCCUCCAUGGACAGUCAAGGGCAGAAUGAUUCUGAUUACACUGUAUCCUCCAGCGAUGGUACUUCCAGUUUUGGGCGUGAAAUUAUACACAUGGCCAGUGAAAAAUUCUAAUAGGCUCCAAUCGUAAG
RNAcentral lists this long non-coding RNA (1138 nucleotides) under Bemisia tabaci. RNAcentral describes it as "lncRNA ENSSSA2NGG013857". The record is from RNAcentral. Lineage: Eukaryota; Metazoa; Arthropoda; Insecta; Hemiptera; Aleyrodidae.